ACGGCCGACCCGGAUCAAUAAAUAAUGAGGCUAGCGCAUGUAGUGUGAUAACAUCCGACACUUUUACGCCUAGUUUCUCACUUAUAGAGAUUCAUGCCCAAAGAGACGGAGCUGGUAAAUGUUAUGCCGGUUGUUCAUACCAAAGCUAGAGGCCAUAUGCGAUUGAUUGUGCAAAUUAGACCACGCACUUGGAUGUCAUUCUAAUGAGAGUGAGAUAGUGACAGCUUGGAUUAUGCC
Molecule: long non-coding RNA, 237 nt
Filed under: Trifolium pratense (red clover)
Lineage: Eukaryota; Viridiplantae; Streptophyta; Magnoliopsida; Fabales; Fabaceae
Description: long non-coding RNA (TPRA_LNC012994)
Source: RNAcentral